UACGUAGGGUGCAAGCGUUGUCCGGAAUUAUUGGGCGUAAAGAGCGUGUAGGCGGCCAGGUAGGUCUGCUGUGAAAGUCCAGGGCUCAACCCUGGGAUGCCGGUGGAUACUGUCGGGCUCGAGUCCGGAAGAGGAGUGUGGAAUUCCUGGUGUAGCGGUGAAAUGCGCAGAUAUCAGGAGGAACACCGAUGGCGAAGGCAGCUCGCUGGGACGGUACUGACGCUGAGGCGCGAAAGCGUGGGGAGCGAACAGG
This 253-nucleotide ribosomal RNA is filed under the name uncultured bacterium. RNAcentral describes it as "partial 16S ribosomal RNA". It matches the Rfam family "Bacterial small subunit ribosomal RNA", at positions 524 to 776 of the family's 1533-position model. The record is from RNAcentral.